UGCGGACGGGCAGCCGGUUGGGCUGGGCCCGGAAGGGUGUGCAGUAGAGCAAGAGGAGGAAGUGGAGGGAAAGGAACCAGAUGCUUCUGAGACAGGCUACCAUCUCUGCGUGCAGUCCCCGCGGAAUUUACGCACUUUCGUCUUGUGCUCUUAGAUGUUCUCCAGGUAGACUGCAACCAACACCUUUAGAAUAAACCCACCUGUGCUUGGGCCAGCCUGAGAGGUCUUCAUUCCUUGCUGUCCAGAAAACCUUCAAAGGCUGCAGCAUAACCAGCUUCUAACAUUGUCCACUGGAGCAGAGACUUUGGGAGCCGAGGUGAAGAUGGCGCAACUACCAGAGGGAGAGCUGGAUUCUAGAGUCCCCACUUGCUUGCCUGGAAGGAGAUCUGCUCAGAACUGCCAGGAUGUCAGAACACGGCUCUGUACGAGCUCCUGAGAUCCAGGGCUGUAGUUGUGAGAAUUUGUCCUAAUGCCUCUGGUCUUUGCCUGUGCUUCAGCUUAUUUGGGGGAACAAAACCAAUCUGAUUGCUCUCAACAUCCAGUUGUCACUGAUUGGGUUCAAGGAAAUUAUUUUAUCUUCAGAAAACAUUUUGUUAUUUGAAGCAGCUAUAUAAGUGAGAUAAAUAUAUUUGAUACAUAUGUACAGAUUUAUAUAUAUAUAGCACCAAACAUACAUAUAUAUUAUAUAUAUAUAUUUCAUAUAAGCGUACAUAUGCCUUCCGGUCUCUGAAAAGUGAGAGGAAAAUAGGAAACUAAUAAUAUUUGACCCCUGUAUCAUUCAGGGCCCUGGUUUGAACAAUGCACUGAAAGUGCUUCUGGAAGAGGACUUAAGGAAGGCACUAUUUACAAAGGUGUGGACAGAAUUAAGGGAAGCCAACGGGGUGGUGAAACACACAAGGCUGAGUAACAGGGGAAGCCUUCCAGCCCCCAGUGGGACCUGUCAAUGGGAGGGCCAGGUCACUGGAGCCUGAGUGAUGGUAGAAGGGCCACCCAGGAGAAGCCGUGUCCCUUGGUGGAGGGACACAGUCACUUCCAACGUGUGGCCCAAAGUUGCAGGGGGCGGGUCUGGGAAGCAGAGUUGUAAGUAUCCUGAUCUUUCUCAUCUUCUGCUCUCUGAUCUCCUUGGUGCCUCCCGUUCAUCAACCCAAUCUGGAUGCUGGAAGACAGGGGGUUUAAUUCAUGCAGUAUUUGAAUAUUACAUCCCUGAGAUGCAGGGUAGGGUGGAGAAAAGCUGAGGGUGGACUUGGAGGGGCGCAAGAAGAACACCCAGUUCAGCCUCUCACAGAAGUCUUUGACCUUGAAGGAGACCUGCUCCACCAUUACACUUUCCCCUCAGUGAUCAUGUUUGGCAGGUGUAUUAGUCUAUUCUCAUACUGCUAAUAAAGACAUACCCAAUAUUUGGUAAGUUAUAAAGGAAA
This is a long non-coding RNA of Homo sapiens (human), 1418 nucleotides long. The record is from Ensembl. NCBI's taxonomy places the organism in Eukaryota, Metazoa, Chordata, Mammalia, Primates, Hominidae.